CCUACGGGUGGCAGCAGUGGGGAAUAUUGGACAAUGGGGGGAACCCUGAUCCAGCCAUGCCGCGUGUGUGAAGAAGGCCCUCGGGUUGUAAAGCACUUUCAGUGAGGAAGAACGCCUGGUGGUUAAUACCCAUCAGGAAAGACAUCACUCACAGAAGAAGCACCGGCUAACUCCGUGCCAGCAGCCGCGGUAAUACGGAGGGUGCGAGCGUUAAUCGGAAUUACUGGGCGUAAAGCGCGCGUAGGUGGCUUGAUAAGCCGGUUGUGAAAGCCCCGGGCUCAACCUGGGAACGGCAUCCGGACCUGACAAGUAGAGGGGAAGAGGGGGAAGUAAGAUUCCCCGUGGAGGGGUGGAAUUGGGAGGAAAUCGGAAGAAAACCAGGUGGGGAGGGGGGCCUCCGGAACGGACCUGGACCCGGGGGGGGAAAGCGGGGGUAGCAAACAGGAUUAGAUACCCGAGUAGUC
RNAcentral lists this ribosomal RNA (464 nucleotides) under Vreelandella stevensii. RNAcentral describes it as "partial 16S ribosomal RNA". It matches the Rfam family "Bacterial small subunit ribosomal RNA", at positions 338 to 795 of the family's 1533-position model. Lineage: Bacteria; Pseudomonadati; Pseudomonadota; Gammaproteobacteria; Oceanospirillales; Halomonadaceae. The record is from RNAcentral.